RNAcentral lists this ribosomal RNA (612 nucleotides) under uncultured bacterium. Its description in RNAcentral is "bacterial SSU rRNA". It matches the Rfam family "Bacterial small subunit ribosomal RNA", at positions 116 to 716 of the family's 1533-position model. The record is from RNAcentral.
CGUGGGUAAUCUGCCCUCGGCACCGGGAUAGCCCGGGGAAACCCGGAUUAAUACCGGAUGGCCCUUUGAAUCCUCGGAUUCACAGGAAAAGGUAGCUUCGGCCUCCGGCCGAGGAUGAGCCCGCGGCGGAUUAGCUUGUUGGUGGGGUAACGGCCCACCAAGGCGACGAUCCGUAGCUGGUCUGAGAGGACGAUCAGCCACACUGGGACUGAGACACGGCCCAGACUCCUACGGGAGGCAGCAGUGGGGAAUCUUGCGCAAUGGGCGAAAGCCUGACGCAGCGACGCCGCGUGAGGGAAGAAGGCCUUCGGGUUGUAAACCUCUUUCAGGAGGGACGAAGCCACUCGGGUUAAUAGCCCAGAGGGUGACGGUACCUCCAGAAGAAGCCCCGGCUAACUACGUGCCAGCAGCCGCGGUAAUACGUAGGGGGCAAGCGUUGUCCGGAUUUAUUGGGCGUAAAGAGCGUGUAGGCGGCCAGGUAGGUCCGUUGUGAAAACUGGAGGCUUAACCUCCAGCGGUCGAUGGAAACCAUCUGGCUAGAGUCCGGAAGAGGAGAGUGGAAUUCCUGGUGUAGCGGUGAAAUGCGCAGAUAUCAGGAAGAACACCCGUGGC